Herpailurus yagouaroundi (jaguarundi) is the source of this 6407-nucleotide long non-coding RNA. RefSeq lists it as uncharacterized. The transcript has 3 exons. The record is from RefSeq and is a predicted model, not a curated record. NCBI's taxonomy places the organism in Eukaryota, Metazoa, Chordata, Mammalia, Carnivora, Felidae.
AAAAAUUAAAAAUAAUUACAAAAAAAGACUAGGACUUUGCAUGGGGAAUGAGACUGUUUAUAUUAAGACAAUCUUUGGAGAUGAAAGUGAAGUUAGCUUUCUCUAAAACAUAGGGAAUGAAGGGGGCUAAAUGGAUACUUGAAUAAAAUCCUGCUUGUGUUCUAUUAAGAAAGUGAGGGGGGGGGGAUGGAUUCUGGGUAGGCAACCAACAAUGUUCAUUUACAAUCAGCGAUUGAUUUGUCAUAGUAGGACACACAGGUGAUGACACCCAAACGAAACUCAAUUAGUGUGAGGGAACUGGUAUUAGUGGGGAUUACAGUAAACAGAACUAAAAGAGGAAGCACAACUCAGCCCUAGUCAACAUGACCACAGAAUAUAAGAAUAUGAAGAUGCUAGAGUUUCAACAUUUUCAAGAGAAGUUGAUAAUCUGCAUUUUUAUGUCAAAUAUCCUAUUUUAAAUGUUGGAUUUUGUUUUUAACCACAAAGGACAGCCAAUACUGCCCAAAACAAACAAAGCUUAUCUGUUGACUAAAUACAGCCUGUGAAACUCUAGUUUACAAGCUUUAGGCUAGAAGAACCAUUGCUUGUCAUUUAGUGGUUCUCUGAAUGCAAGGCUUGCCAAUAGAAGAGCAGCCAAAGGAGGAAGGUGGGAGAAUCAGUGUCAUUAUCUCACACAAUACAUUUCAGCAGGUGGGUCUGAUGCCAGUAGGACCCCAGAGUUUUCCCUCAGGACCAGCCAAGAGGAUCCUUGGCUUCUCGAAGGAUGGAAAUCAAACUCUGAGCUAGCAGGGGGUGAGAGCAGAGUUUAUGAGGAUAUAAAGAGAGCAGAAACAGAUGGAGUAUCUGCAUAGGAGAUACCAGGAAACUCAGAAAGGAAAGGAGUAUGAAUCUUGUCUUUGUUUGGGGUCUGGGGGUUUUACUGGAGAUUAUGUAUGAUCUGGUGUAUGUGUCCUCUUGUGGUAGAGCCCCUCCCUAAGGGAUGUGGUGGAGGCCUCCUCAGAACAAAGUAAGGUAACGUGGCCCCAUCAACUCCUAUACACAUGUACAUAAAUGUGACAUGACUAUGUAACUUGGACUGUGUCCAAUCAGACUAUAUGUCACCCCAUAUGGGAGACAAGUAGAAAUUGCAUAAAAGGCUAUACCCUGCUGCGCUUGGGGCUCAGUUUUUGAGGUAAGAACCCACUGAGCUCAUGCUGGCAUGACAAAGUUGCUUCCCGGACAGAAAAGCCUGUGUCCUGUCUCUCUGUGCGAGAAUCUUGCUACACUCUUCAGGCAUCCAGGAACUAGUUAGAACAAGACAAGGUCUCAGGUGUUAUUCCUUGGAGCUAGGGGGUGUUGGUGUUCAGAUGUUUAGCUCUGGUGGUCUGGAAUACGUAUAUCAUAGCCUCUCCCAGUCAUUCUCACUCGGUCCUUCCUUAGUAGUUAUCUAUACUAGAGAAAUCCUUAACUCCUAGUCCCUUACAAGGAGUACAUAUGCUAUUUGCAUUACAAAGCAUAUGUAAAAUGGGAUGGGAUGCAGGUCCUAACAAGAAUAGAAGCAGAAAAUAAGCAAAAAGCAGAUUUUUAUGGAGUCCUUCAGUUUCCUUAUCUCAGGCCCCCAAACACAGUCCUUAGGCUUCUGCUUCACCUAGUAAAAUCUGAAUUCUUUUGGAGCCAGUUACUCCUUUCCUGACCAGGCAAACUAUUCUAAUAACCUGAACCGCAAACACUUGUUUACUUUCUCACUUCGUGCACAGGUAAGACCCUGUGGGUACAGGGACCAAAGUCUUCAUACUACUAGAAAUCCAACAUGGACUAGGUUUGAUCCUUUUUUCAAAGCUGCCUAAAUUCCACUGGGUCUUUUUCCCUUCCUUCCUUACUUUCUUAUUUUUUUAAAGAUACUGUAAGGAUAAGGCUAACUGUAGCCUUAAGAGAUAACAUCUUUGUUUUAACACUAUAGGUUAAGAGAUAACAGCCUUAUCCUAUCAAUCAAGGGAUGGAUUAGCCCUUGAUUGGAUUGGGGCAAGGGCCUGUUUGAACUGUUUCCACCUGGGAACUAGUCCUUUGUUCUGUUCCCAGGUGAUAAUAAUACGAUGUGGUCGGCUAUAAAAACAAGGUACCCUGGCUGUUCGAGACCACACUCUGGUCAAGAGCAUCGUCCUGAUCGAUCAGUUUGCCUUGCCUCUCAUUGCAAUAAACUUUGUUGUGACUGUCACUGGUGCCUGUAGCAUUCUGUUUCAGGAGUCGUGUGGAUACAACAUUUGGUGUGUUGGCCAGGAAAGUUAAAGGUCUGAAAGAGGGCCCUUUCCUCGGAUUGCUCCACUGACCCCUGGAAGGAGGCUCAGGAUUGGGAGAGCACAGGUUUUGCCACUUAAAGGCCGUCCACCUGAUAAGAAUUUUGACGGGACGAAGCGGCCGCCCCCUUUACCAUCUGCACCGGAGGAAGAAGAAGAAACUUGUAAAUGGCCCUAUAGUUCUCGAGCAGAGAAUACGAGGCAAGCCCAAGUCGGGACACUCCCCUGAGCCUGUCUCACACCCAGUCAGGAACCUCCUUCCAUCCCCCUCUCGCUGCCUUACUCCUUCGGCCAGGGCCACCCCUGCAGGGUGAUGUCCGACCCUUUAUGAUUUAUGUAUCCUUUUCCACUAGCGGCCUUUAUAACUGGAAGCUUCAAACCCCCCCCCCCCCCCGUUCUCAGAAAAACCCCAAGCAUUAAUUUCUCUCCUUGAAACUAUAUUUGUGACCCAUCAGCCAACCUGGGAUGACUGCCAGCUCUUGCAGGCUCUCUUCACUACCGAGGAAUGGGAUAAGAUCUGUACGUGAGGCCUGGAAAUUGGUGAUGGGGCCAAACGGGCAUCCCACCGAGGAUCCCGCCUUACUCAAGGAAGUCUUUCUUUCCUCGCACCCUGAAGAUUGGGAUCCAAACACUCCUCACGAAUGCCUGAGUGCCACCAAGGAACUCUUCAGUCUUCUGCAAAAACUGGGAUACUGAGUAUCAGCCAAAAUGUAGAUCUGUCUCACUGCGGUCACUCAUUUAGGUUACAACAUUAAAAAGGUACGUGCUAUCUCGGUGACUCUGUCUCAUACUAAAACUUGCAAACAAGUUCACGAGUUCCUGGGGGCAGCAGGCUACUGCAGACUAUGGAUACCUGGCUUUGCUGAACUGGCAGCCCCUUUGUAUGCCACUCUCAAGGGGUCUCCGGAGUCCCUCACAUGGGGGGAGACUCAAACUAAAGCCUUCCAAGCUUUGAGAGACUCUCAUGACCCCACCAGCCUUGGACCUGCCAGAUCCCACUAAGCCAUUCCAUCUGUUUGUAGCCCAGAAAGGGGGGGUAGCCAAGGGAGUUCUGACUCAGGCCACUGGUUGGCGCCAAGGUCCCAGGCACUAUUUAGCCAAAAGGCUAGACCCAGUUGCUUCCCGGUGGCCCACGUGUGUUCGACAGAUUGCUGCCACCAUGCUACUAGUAAAAGACGCAGAUAAACUAACCCUGGGACAGACGUUGUCUGUUACGGGGCCCCAUGAAGUGGAGGCCUUACUGCGGGCUCCCCCAGAACAGUGGCUAUCAAAUGCCCGGAUUACCCAGCAUCAGGCAUUGCUGCUCGACCAGCCCCAGAUACAUUUUUUGUGCCCCCGCAGCCUUAAACCCAGCUACUUUGCUGCCCGAAGGACUAGGUCCCCCUCUACAUUCUUGCCCAGAGACUUAGCGACAGUUUCGUCCCUGUGCUCUGAUCUCACAGACGUUCCCCUACAGGAUCCUGCUAUCAACAUGUUUUCAGACGGCAGUAGUUUUGUGUUUCAAGGGCAAAGGCAUGCCGGUGCUGCAGUUACCACAGACCGCGAGGUUCUAUGGCAACAGACCCUUCCCCUGGGAACCUCAGCCCAGCUCGCAGAACUCAUCGUGCUAACUAAAGCCCUGAAACUUGGGUAAAAACAAGUCUUUGCAACUAAUGACUUUGCAACUGUGCAUGUACACGGUCCAUCUAUCAAGAGCGCGACCUCCUCACAGCAGAGGGCAAGGACAUCAAAAAUAAAGCCGAAAUUCUACACCUUCUAACAGCCAUCUGGGAACCUGCGAGACUCCUGAUCAUUCAGGAAGUAUGAUACCAGGACGAAAGUGGGUUCAGGAUCCUGAAGGUAAGAUACUCUUACCUGUUGUACUUGGGCGACGCAUGGUGUGUCUGCUCCACCAAGGGACUCAUCUGGGAAAAACAAAGAUGGCAGAAUUGGUGCAGAAAAAGUUCAGGGUGCAAGGGCUGGGAAAAGAGAUUGAGAAGACGGUUGAAAGAUGUGUAAGUUGCGCCCAAGUAAAUCAGGGUGCAAAUAAGGUUUCAGAAGCUAAAAGAGAUAGAGGAACUGAGCCAGGCCGGUUUUGGGAAGUGGAUUUUACUGAAAUUAAACCAGGGAAAUACAGAGACAAAUAUCUGCUUGUUUUUGUGGACACCUUUUCCAGGUGGGUUGAGGUGUUCCCCACUAAAUCAGAAAUGGCUCAGGUGACAGUUAAAAAAAAAAUUAUUAAAUGAACUAAUGCCUAGAUUCAGGCUGCCUCUGAGCAUAGGACUGGACAAUGGCCUAGCCUUCAGGGCACAGGUAUCGCAGGGUCUAGCCAGAGCAUUGGGAAUAAAUUGGAAAUUACAUUGUGCAUUAUAGACCCCAGAGCUCGGGUCAAGUCGAAAGGAUGACUCAGACUCUAAAGGAGACCUUAACCAAAUUGUCCCUUGAGACUGGCGAAAAUUGGCAAAAUGUUUUGCCUUUUGCCCUUUUGCGAGCACGUUGUACUCCAUUUCUCAAGGGAUUGUCCCCUUACAAAAUCUUAUUUGGCAGACCUUGCCAAGGCUAGGGGACGACAUAAAGGAACAGCUAGAACAGGACCACUUGUUGGCUUCACUCUUGGCCCUGCAUCUUGUACAAAAGGAAAUAACCAAGGCCUUGAAAGAAGCCUUUGCCCAUCCUCCUGUACUUCCCCACCCUUUGAACCAGGAGACUUAGUUUGGGUCAAGAGGUAUGAACCUAAAACCCUGGAGCCACGCUGGAAAGGACCACACACCGUGAUCCUGACUACACCAACGGCUGUGAAGAUAGACGGUGUCCGAACCUGGAUUCAUCACUUUCAGGUUAAGAAAAACUGCACGGAGGCGGAAACACCCAGGACUGAUACGGGACCAGAGAACGAACAGUGACGGAAGGUCAAAAAGCACCCAGAGGAUCCUUUAAAGAUAAGACUGAUGCGGGAAUAACCGUUGUCUGGGUUUGUAUAAUAAGCUUGGGAGACUGUGCAGAACUGCACCCCUUGUCUUAUUGGCCAUACCUGUGACCCUGUCACAGGGAAGGUGGUAACAUCUAAAGCCUCGAGUACUAUGCUUUGUUUCUUGUUCGACCUAUGUGACCUGGUAGAAGAAUGGGGGUUGCAAACCUGGGCAAGAGCUCUCAGGAACAUUGGGGAGAACAAUUGUGGAUGAGGAAAUAGGGCACUAGAGCGAAAUUUGGCUAAGAUGCAGAUAGAAAAAAUGGGAAGGAGAGGGUUAAUACCACGGUGCCAAGUGGGGUUGUGAGAUGCUAGCCCCCUGGUUAACAGGACAGGACCUUGACCCCCUAAUUACUCUUAGAACCCCGAACCCCCAAUGUGCGGCCCAAGGAAAAUGUAACCCAACACCAGCUCAUCUAUUUUCUCAUCAUUCUGAGAUACUGGCACACUUGGGGCCUCCGAAUGUAUGAUGUCAUUGUGCACUUGGGGUUCACGACCAAUUUUAACCCUACAGGGACCUCCAAGGGCAGGGUUGGUGCAUAGUGUCUCAUGCCAACAAUUCCAGAGUAAUUCGAGACACUGAGUUUAGUAAGGAACAAUCUUAGAGCCAGGGAACAUGCCAGGGAGGCCAGCAAUAAUUAGUAUCACCCUUGGUCUGCCUGGCUCACAUCGCUGCUCCCCACCAUAGCUGGGCCACUGCUAUUGUUACUUCUCGGGUUAACUAUCGGCCCAUGCACUAUCAAUUGGUUAGUACAGUAUGUCAAGAGGUGAGUUGGUGAAAUAAAAAUUUAUGAUUAGGUCCCACUAUGUUGGCUUAGUUCCUAAUGAUGAAUCAAGGGAUUGAUUCCCGGACAAGAAAAGGGAAAUGUAAGGAUAGGGCUAACCUGUAGCCUUAAGAGAUAACAUCUAUUGUUUUAACUCUGUAGGUUAAGAGAUAACAGCCUUAUCCUGUCAAUCAAGGGAUGGAUUAGCGCUUGAUUGGAUUGGGGCAAGGGCCUGUUUGAACUGUUUCCACCUGGGAACUAUUCCUUUGUUCUGUUCCCAGGUGAUAAUAAUACGAUGUGGUUGGCUAUAAAAACAAUGUACCCUGGCUGUUCGAGACUGCACUCUGGUCAGGAGUGUCGGUCCUGAUGGAUCGUUUUGCCUUGCCUCUCCUUGCAAUAAACUGAACGUCUCUGGUGCCCGUA